RNAcentral lists this transfer RNA (69 nucleotides) under Urocitellus parryii (Arctic ground squirrel). RNAcentral's name for it is "Spermophilus parryii (Arctic ground squirrel) tRNA". It matches the Rfam family "tRNA". From Rfam's summary of the family: Transfer RNA (tRNA) molecules are approximately 80 nucleotides in length. Their secondary structure includes four short double-helical elements and three loops (D, anti-codon, and T loops). Lineage: Eukaryota; Metazoa; Chordata; Mammalia; Rodentia; Sciuridae. RNAcentral also lists the same sequence under 2 other names. The record is from Rfam by way of RNAcentral.
GGGGUUGUGGCUCAGUGACAGAGCACUUGCCUAGCACGUGAGAGGCACUGGGUUCAAUUCUCAGCACCA